GAGUUUGAUCUUGGCUCAGAUUGAACGCUGGCGGCAUGCCUUACACAUGCAAGUCGAACGGCAGCACGGGAGCUUGCUCCUGGUGGCGAGUGGCGAACGGGUGAGUAAUGCAUCGGAACGUAUCCUGGAGUGGGGGAUAACGUAGCGAAAGUUACGCUAAUACCGCAUAUUCUGUGAGCAGGAAAGCGGGGGACCUUCGGGCCUCGCGCUCUUGGAGCGGCCGAUGUCGGAUUAGCUAGUUGGUGAGGUAAAGGCUCACCAAGGCGACGAUCCGUAGCAGGUCUGAGAGGAUGAUCUGCCACACUGGAACUGAGACACGGUCCAGACUCCUACGGGAGGCAGCAGUGGGAAUUUUGGACAAUGGGGGCAACCCUGAUCCAGCCAUGCCGCGUGAGUGAAGAAGGCCUCGGUUGUAAGU
This 418-nucleotide ribosomal RNA is filed under the name bacterium enrichment culture clone ALO1_GLFRUDD03GENFI. RNAcentral's name for it is "bacterial SSU rRNA". It matches the Rfam family "Bacterial small subunit ribosomal RNA", at positions 9 to 430 of the family's 1533-position model. The record is from RNAcentral.